CACAUAUUUUUUGACACGAAUUAAAUAAAUCAUUUAUUUAAAAGAAACAAAAAAAAAAAAGAAAUUUUACUAGAUGAAGAACUAUAUGCAAGAAGAACUAUAUGCGCAAUUAUUACUAGUGACGCUUAGGUUUAAAUAGAAGAGUAGACUAUACAACACGAAUUCGAACGAGUUUAGCCGAACUUGGACGAAUUAGAAAAAGAGAGAUAUACUACUUCUAAUUGCAAUAUUUAUUCGUUAUAAGCUCACAGUUUAACAUCGGCCACGAACACGAACAUGUAUUUUGUAGAAUCAUAAAAUUCUAUUUUUAUUUUAUUAGAAACAACGGCUAACGAAAACUCAAUCCAAAUUAUUUAAAGAAAUUUAUCUUGUAUCGGUGUGAAAUUAUUUGCUUCGUUGGAUUCAAGUUAGAUUCUUUCAACUGGUGGGGAUGACUCAAGCAAACAACGAAUGAAUACUACGUAUAUUUGCCAAGGUCCAAGGUAAUAACGUGGUCAUUUUCGAAACUCUUCGUUUAAUUAAACUGAAAGCAAAAAACAGUUGCAUUAAAACUUUCAAUAUUAUGGAUACAUUUGUUUAGAAAGCAAAUUGAAUAUCCGUUCAAUUCUUCGUUUCGCAUUCGGUAGCGCAUAGUCUUAGCUUUUACCCGAUAACAACUUCGUCCGAUAUCCAAUUUGGAUGGAUACACAGUUGCUUGGAAAGGUCACGUAUUCCGAACGACGCUGCCGCUGCGUAUUACCCGGAAUAAAAUUUGAUGGGGCUACGGUAAAGGACUGCGGAAUUUUCGAAUAUGACGAAUGGACCAGCGUGAUAGUUCCCUUGUAAUCUUUGGUACUUCCUGUUUUAUGAACUGGUCGUUCGUCAUUCCACACGAUUCUUCGACUUACGAAUAUGACGCGUUAAAAUGUAAUAUGACAAUUAUCUUGAAAAAGUAGUAUUUACUUUUGACAUUUCAUUAGGAAUACACAGUGUUCUCUAUAUAAGAUGAUCAAAUGGCACGUAAUUAUUCGAAUCUAAAUAUUUCAAAACUUGAUCUUUUUUUAUUUAAAUAUUCACCUAUCAUCUUCAAAAAAACGAAAUUCACGAAAUUCAACACGUGCAAUAUAUUCCCCAUGGAACGUGUCCUCCAGUCAAGAAUCGCAUCAGCGUUCCUAUCACAAAAAAUUGUUGGUAUAAGAGAAUAUUGAAAAAUAUAAGGAAAAAACAAAAAAACAUAUAUGGAUAUAUUAUUAAGAUAUUUUUCUUGAUAUUUUCGAGUUUUUACAUUGAAAUUUAUAAAGGAAUUAUUUAUUUUAAUUCAGUUUAUUCGAUAAUUAUACAUCACAAUAAUCAUACAAAGAAUAUAUGUCAAGAAUUACAAAAAUAAAUUGAGAAAAAAAAAAAAGAAAUUCAUUAUCGAAAAAAAUAAUCGUGAGAUCAUAAAUGAUGAUUCAGAGAUAAUAAUUCAGAGAACAUAUUAUCUUAAAGAAACUGUUAUCACGAAGACCAUGAUUGAUUGACGAGAGGAUUUCUUUAAAAUGUGUGGACGAAAAAAAAAAAA
Apis mellifera (honey bee) is the source of this 1540-nucleotide long non-coding RNA. RefSeq lists it as uncharacterized. The record is from RefSeq and is a predicted model, not a curated record. NCBI's taxonomy places the organism in Eukaryota, Metazoa, Arthropoda, Insecta, Hymenoptera, Apidae. The transcript is spliced from 4 exons.